ACCAGACUCCUACGGGAGGCAGCAGUGGGGAAUAUUGCACAAUGGGGAAACCCUGAUGCAGCGACGCCGCGUGAAGGACGAAGUAUUUCGGUACGUAAACUUCUAUCAGCAGGGAAGAAAAUGACGGUACCUGACCAAGAAGCCCCGGCUAACUACGUGCCAGCAGCCGCGGUAAUACGUAGGGGGCAAGCGUUAUCCGGAUUUACUGGGUGUAAAGGGAGCGUAGACGGCCAGGCAAGCCUGGAGUGAAAGCCCGGGGCCCAACCCCGGGACUGCUCUGGGAACUGUCCGGCUGGAGUGCGGGAGGGGCAGGCGGAAUUCCUGGUGUAGCGGUGAAAUGCGUAGAUAUCAGGAGGAACACCGGCGGCGAAGGCGGCCUGCUGGACCGCGACUGACGUUGAGGCUCGAAAGCGUGGGGAGCGAACAGGAUUAGAUACCCCUGUA
RNAcentral lists this ribosomal RNA (444 nucleotides) under uncultured bacterium. RNAcentral describes it as "bacterial SSU rRNA". It matches the Rfam family "Bacterial small subunit ribosomal RNA", at positions 330 to 792 of the family's 1533-position model. The record is from RNAcentral.